UACUCGAGUGGCGAACGGGUGAGUAACACGUGGGUGAUCUGCCCUGCACUCUGGGAUAAGCCUGGGAAACUGGGUCUAAUACCGGAUAGGACCAUGCUUUAGUGUGUGUGGUGGAAAGUUUUUUCGGUGUAGGAUGAGCCCGCGGCCUAUCAGCUUGUUGGUGGGGUAAUGGCCUACUAAGGCGGCGACGGGUAGCCGGACUGAGAGGUUGGUCGGCCACAUUGGGACUGAGAUACGGCCCAG
This 243-nucleotide ribosomal RNA is filed under the name uncultured Actinomycetales bacterium. RNAcentral's name for it is "partial 16S ribosomal RNA". It matches the Rfam family "Bacterial small subunit ribosomal RNA", at positions 88 to 334 of the family's 1533-position model. Lineage: Bacteria; Bacillati; Actinomycetota; Actinomycetes; Actinomycetales. The record is from RNAcentral.